RNAcentral lists this transfer RNA (72 nucleotides) under Bos taurus (domestic cattle). It matches the Rfam family "tRNA". From Rfam's summary of the family: Transfer RNA (tRNA) molecules are approximately 80 nucleotides in length. Their secondary structure includes four short double-helical elements and three loops (D, anti-codon, and T loops). RNAcentral also lists the same sequence under 1 other name. Lineage: Eukaryota; Metazoa; Chordata; Mammalia; Artiodactyla; Bovidae. The record is from Rfam by way of RNAcentral.
CCCCUGGUGGUCUAGUGGCGAGGACUCUUGGUUUUCAGCUGGGUUACCCAGGUUUAAUUCCUGGGCAGGGAA